GAUGAACGCUGGCGGCGUGCCUAAUACAUGCAAGUCGAGCGAACAGACGAGGAGCUUGCUCCUCUGACGUUAGCGGCGGACGGGUGAGUAACACGUGGAUAACCUACCUAUAAGACUGGGAUAACUUCGGGAAACCGGAGCUAAUACCGGAUAAUAUAUUGAACCGCAUGGUUCAAUAGUGAAAGACGGUUUUGCUGUCACUUAUAGAUGGAUCCGCGCCGCAUUAGCUAGUUGGUAAGGUAACGGCUUACCAAGGCGACGAUGCGUAGCCGAACUGAGAGGGUGGUCGGGCAAACAUAAACUGAAGCACGGUCCAGACUCCUACGAGAGGCAGCAGUAGGGAAUCGUCCGCAAUGGGCGAAAGCCUGACGGAGCAACGCCGCGUGAGUGAUGAAGGUCUUCGGAUCGUAAAACUCUGUUAUUAGGGAAGAACAAAUGUGUAAGUAACUAUGCACGUCUUGACGGUACCUAAUCAGAAAGCCACGGCUAACUACGUG
RNAcentral lists this ribosomal RNA (497 nucleotides) under uncultured bacterium. Its description in RNAcentral is "partial 16S ribosomal RNA". It matches the Rfam family "Bacterial small subunit ribosomal RNA", at positions 28 to 507 of the family's 1533-position model. The record is from RNAcentral.